This is a non-coding RNA of Labrus bergylta (ballan wrasse), 832 nucleotides long. The record is from RefSeq and is a predicted model, not a curated record. NCBI's taxonomy places the organism in Eukaryota, Metazoa, Chordata, Actinopteri, Labriformes, Labridae.
CAGCUGUAAUUAAAACGCCCACCGUCUCUGUCUUUGAAUCAAUUAGUGACAUCCAACGUUUCCCAUGAUCCCUUUGGACAACAUUAAAGUAAGGGUAAUUAAUUUUCCAUUAAGAAGUGGGAUGUGAAAGUGUUGGUGGGAAAUGUAGCAGGGAUUUGUUUUUAUUUUUUCAAGGGGGAAAAAUUUCCUUUAUUGGACAUGACAGCUGAAGAGAGCAGAGAUUGGAGUAAAGUUUGCCAGGAGACAAACCUGCGGCCGAUGUGUGGAGAACUGUAGCCUCUGUUUAUGGAGCUCCUGCUCUACAGACUGAGCUAAACCAGUGCCCCAGAAAGAAUUGAAGAGCAGGGCAUGACUCCAGAAGAGGAGGGACUGAACACAGCGUGUUUUACUACCUCUGUCUUUUCAGGUUGCUAGGUGGAGAGACUGGUUUUCUACACAACACAGAUUUUCUGAAUCAAAGAAAUGUCUUUUAUCAGAAUCCACUUUAUUUGUGUGUGUGUUUGUGAGGACGUGGUUUUCCCAGUAGCACUCUGUGGCUCCCUCCUGAUUGCUGUUCAUUCCCUCCACCUGCUCAGUCCUGCACACCUGCUCUCCAUCAACUCUGCACUAUACCCCGGCUUUUCAUCCACUCAUCCCCAGAUUGUUGUUUCAGCUACUGCGCCUCCUGCCUUCCUGCUCAGCCAUCUGUAUUAACCUGCCCUCUGGAUUUAAAGCCACUCAAUCAGCCACGCUACCACCCAUACUCUGCUCUGGUCAGCCAUCUGAAAACCUCCAGAAUCAUCAACCCAUCUCCAUUUCCCUUUCUCUGCAAUAAACCUCAUUACCCCUCUUU